GAUCAUCUCUGAUCUUAAUUUGUUAAAAGAAUAUGCAUUCUUUGUUUCAAAGCAACUUCUAAAACAGUUGCUUAAGAAGUUGACCUUACUUAAAUUUAUGAAUUAGAGGACAAUUGAGUGAAUUACUAUCAAACCUUUUUAUAGUUUUCAUUACCCUAAUAAUUAAUACAGAUUCCUGUAAUAGUCUUAGAAAGAGGAAAAGUGUGUUUUAUUUAAGAGUCUUAACACAUUUGUUUUUAAGUGAACCACCCCAUCUUCUGUGUGUCUCUUUGGGUCCGUUUUAAAAAUUACAAUCAUACUGCCUGAAAACUGACCCAUAAAAAAGCAUGUGUUUAGCAGGGCACACUCGGGAGACUGAAGCAGGAAGAUCGCAAUUUCAAAGACAGCUUCAGCAAUUUAGUGAGGCCCUAAACACUUGGUGAGAUCCUGUUUCAAAAAAUAAAAAGGGCUGAGGAUGUAACUCAGUGGUUAAGCACCCCUGGGUUCAAUCCCCAGUACCAAAAAAGAAACAAAAACAUAAGUUCAAAGUAACCCAUAGAAGUAAGCCUAUUCAAGUUAAUUCAGGGUCUUUUAGUGGUUGUCCAGGCAGUAAAAGAGAUCUUUGUAAGAUUAAAGUGGAUGGUUCUACUGAAAUGCCACUCUUUGAAGGACCCCACUGACUUUUUUGUUUUCAUUCUCUGUUCUCUAUAGCAUUUAGUAAUAAUUUAUUUAGCAAAUAUCUGUGUGUCAAAUAUGUAUCAGAACACUG
This 748-nucleotide long non-coding RNA is filed under the name Marmota monax (woodchuck). The record is from RNAcentral. Lineage: Eukaryota; Metazoa; Chordata; Mammalia; Rodentia; Sciuridae.